This 433-nucleotide ribosomal RNA is filed under the name uncultured bacterium. Its description in RNAcentral is "partial 16S ribosomal RNA". It matches the Rfam family "Bacterial small subunit ribosomal RNA", at positions 29 to 507 of the family's 1533-position model. The record is from RNAcentral.
AACGAACGCUUUCGGCUUGCCUAACACAUGCAAGUCGAACGAUCCCUUCGGGUCUUGUGUCUCACUGGUGCUUAAUGCGUGGGAACCUGCCCUUAGGUUCGUAAUAACUCAGAGAAAUUUUAGCUCAUACCGCAUCAUGUCUUCGCUCCCAAGAUUUCUCGCCUGUGGCUGGGCCCGCGUUGGAUUAGCUAGUUGGUGGGGUAAAGGCCUAACAAGGCGACGAUCCUUAGCUGGUCUGAGAGGAUGAUCAGCCACACUGGGACUGAGACACGGCCCAGACUCCUACGGGAGGCAGCAGUGGGGAAUAUUGGACAAUGGGCGAAAGCCUGAUCCAGCAAUGCCGCGUGAGGGAUGAAGGCCUUAGGGUUGUAAAGCUAUUUUACCCGGGAUGAUAAUGACAGUACCGGGAGAAUAAGCCCCGGCUAACUCCGUG